RNAcentral lists this ribosomal RNA (253 nucleotides) under uncultured bacterium. RNAcentral's name for it is "partial 16S ribosomal RNA". It matches the Rfam family "Bacterial small subunit ribosomal RNA", at positions 524 to 776 of the family's 1533-position model. The record is from RNAcentral.
UACGGAGGAUCCGAGCGUUAUCCGGAUUUAUUGGGUUUAAAGGGUGCGCAGGCGGCCUGCUAAGUCAGGGGUGAAAUCGGAUGGCUCAACCAUCCAAGUGCCUUUGAUACUGGCAGGCUUGAAUGCAGCUGAAGUAGGCGGAAUGUGACAAGUAGCGGUGAAAUGCAUAGAGAUGUCACAGAACACCGAUUGCGAAGGCAGCUUACUAAAGUGCAAUUGACGCUCAGGCACGAAAGCGUGGGGAUCAAACAGG